This 449-nucleotide ribosomal RNA is filed under the name uncultured bacterium. RNAcentral's name for it is "partial 16S ribosomal RNA". It matches the Rfam family "Bacterial small subunit ribosomal RNA", at positions 29 to 523 of the family's 1533-position model. The record is from RNAcentral.
AAUGAACGCUGGCGGCAUGCCCAACUCAUGCAAGUCGAACGAAGGCUUCGGCCUUAGUGGCGCACGGGUGCGUAACGCGUGGGAAUCUGCCCUCAGGUUCGGAAUAACAGCGAGAAAUUGCUGCUAAUACCGGAUGAUAUCGCGAGAUCAAAGAUUUAUCGCCUGAGGAUGAGCCCGCGUAGGAUUAGCUAGUUGGUGUGGUAAAGGCGCACCAAGGCGACGAUCCUUAGCUGGUCUGAGAGGAUGAUCAGCCACACUGGGACUGAGACACGGCCCAGCCUCCUACGGGAGGCAGCAGUGGGGAAUAUUGGACAAUGGGCGAAAGCCUGAUCCAGCAACGCCGCGUGAGUGAUGAAGGCCUUAGGGUUGUAAAGCUCUUUUACCCGGGAUGAUAAUGACAGUACCGGGAGAAUAAGCUCCGGCUAACUCCGUGCCAGCCGCCGCCGUAA